AGCUUUUUGAAUCCGUGCUGAGAUUUCAUCAAAUGCCAACUCAAUAGGGCUGACCAGACUUCCAAGAUAAGUGAAGUU
Schistosoma haematobium is the source of this 78-nucleotide non-coding RNA. The record is from Rfam. NCBI's taxonomy places the organism in Eukaryota, Metazoa, Platyhelminthes, Trematoda, Strigeidida, Schistosomatidae.